GACGAACGCUGGCGGCGUGCCUAAUACAUGCAAGUCGAGCGAGACUCUUCGGAGUCUAGCGGCGGACGGGUGAGUAACACGUGGGCAACCUGCCUGUAAGACUGGGAUAACACCGGGAAACCGGUGCUAAUACCGGAUAAUCCUUUUCCUCUCAUGAGGAAAAGCUGAAAGUCGGUUUCGGCUGACACUUACAGAUGGGCCCGCGGCGCAUUAGCUAGUUGGUGAGGUAACGGCUCACCAAGGCGACGAUGCGUAGCCGACCUGAGAGGGUGAUCGGCCACACUGGGACUGAGGCACGGCCCAGACUCCUACGGGAGGCAGCAGUAGGGAAUCUUCCACAAUGGACGAAAGUCUGAUGGAGCAACGCCGCGAGAGCGAUGAAGGCCUUCGGGUCGUAAAGCUCUGUUGUUAGGGAAGAACAAGUAUCGGAGUAACUGCCGGUACCUUGACGGUACCUAACCAGAAAGCCACGGCUAACUACGUGCCAGCAGCCGCCGUAA
Molecule: ribosomal RNA, 500 nt
Filed under: uncultured bacterium
Lineage: Bacteria
Description: partial 16S ribosomal RNA
Rfam family: Bacterial small subunit ribosomal RNA
Source: RNAcentral